CGACAGGACUGGAGCUGGACUCCUCUCUCACUGCAUCAGGAAGGGGGCAAAGCCAGGAACUUCUCAGCAUCCCCUUGUAUAAUGGGGUCCGGCAGAGAUCCGUACGUAUUCCAACAGACAAGCGGAGAACCAGAAGGACACAAAUCGCUGCAUGUCUGCUGGAACAGUCAUGCCAGAGUUUUGAAGCGGUUAGGCCAGCUUUCUGAAGGGAGUCCACUACAGCCUGCACUUUGGGUAUCUUCAUGCUUCUUCAAGGACCUUAGUUACAAUGUCUGAAACUGUGCUGCACAAGCUCAGUAGUGAAGACCAGAGGAGGAAGUUCACUACUGGACAUGACUGCAGUCAUC
This is a long non-coding RNA of Bufo gargarizans (Asiatic toad), 347 nucleotides long. RefSeq lists it as uncharacterized. The transcript has 4 exons. The record is from RefSeq and is a predicted model, not a curated record. Lineage: Eukaryota; Metazoa; Chordata; Amphibia; Anura; Bufonidae.